GAUGAACGCUGGCGGCGUGCCUAAUACAUGCAAGUCGAGCGAACAGACGAGGAGCUUGCUCCUCUGACGUUAGCGGCGGACGGGUGAGUAACACGUGGAUAACCUACCUAUAAGACUGGGAUAACUUCGGGAAACCGGAGCUAAUACCGGAUAAUAUAUUGAACCGCAUGGUUCAAUAGUGAAAGACGGUUUUGCUGUCACUUAUAGAUGGAUCCGCGCCGCAUUAGCUAGUUGGUAAGGUAACGGCUUACCAAGGCAACGAUGCGUAGCCGACCUGAGAGGCUGAUCGGCCACACUGGAACUGAGACACGGUCCAGACUCCUACGGGAGGCAGCAGUAGGGAAUCUUCCGCAAUGGGCGAAAGCCUGACGGAGCAACGCCGCGUGAGUGAUGAAGGUCUUCGGAUCGUAAAACUCUGUUAUUAGGGAAGAACAAAUGUGUAAGUAACUAUGCACGUCUUGACGGUAACUAAUCAGAAAGCCACGGCUAACUACGUG
Molecule: ribosomal RNA, 497 nt
Filed under: uncultured bacterium
Lineage: Bacteria
Description: partial 16S ribosomal RNA
Rfam family: Bacterial small subunit ribosomal RNA
Source: RNAcentral